RNAcentral lists this ribosomal RNA (1343 nucleotides) under uncultured bacterium. RNAcentral's name for it is "16S ribosomal RNA". It matches the Rfam family "Bacterial small subunit ribosomal RNA", at positions 28 to 1378 of the family's 1533-position model. The record is from RNAcentral.
GACGAACGCUGGCGGCGUGCUUAACACAUGCAAGUCGAACGGAAAGGCCCUGCUUUUGUGGGGUGCUCGAGUGGCGAACGGGUGAGUAACACGUGAGUAACCUGCCCUUGACUUUGGGAUAACUUCAGGAAACUGGGGCUAAUACCGGAUAGGAGCUCCUGCUGCAUGGUGGGGGUUGGAAAGUUUCGGCGGUUGGGGAUGGACUCGCGGCUUAUCAGCUUGUUGGUGGGGUAGUGGCUUACCAAGGCUUUGACGGGUAGCCGGCCUGAGAGGGUGACCGGCCACAUUGGGACUGAGAUACGGCCCAGACUCCUACGGGAGGCAGCAGUGGGGAAUAUUGCACAAUGGGCGGAAGCCUGAUGCAGCAACGCCGCGUGCGGGAUGACGGCCUUCGGGUUGUAAACCGCUUUCGCCUGUGACGAAGCGUGAGUGACGGUAAUGGGUAAAGAAGCACCGGCUAACUACGUGCCAGCAGCCGCGGUGAUACGUAGGGUGCGAGCGUUGUCCGGAUUUAUUGGGCGUAAAGGGCUCGUAGGUGGUUGAUCGCGUCGGAAGUGUAAUCUUGGGGCUUAACCCUGAGCGUGCUUUCGAUACGGGUUGACUUGAGGAAGGUAGGGGAGAAUGGAAUUCCCGGCGGAGCGGUGGAAUGCGCAGAUAUCAGGAGGAACACCAGUGGCGAAGGCGGUUCUCUGGGCCUUUCCUGACGCUGAGGAGCGAAGGCGUGGGGAGCGAACAGGCUUAGAUACCCUGGUAGUCCACGCUGUAAACGGUGGGUACUAGGUGUGGGGUCCAUUCCACGGGUUCCGUGCCGUAGCUAACGCUUUAAGUACCCCGCCUGGGGAGUACGGCCGCAAGGCUAAAACUCAAAGGAAUUGACGGGGCCCCGCACAAGCGGCGGAGCAUGCGGAUUAAUUCGAUGCAACGCGUAGAACCUUACCCGGGUUUGACAUGGAUCGGGAGUGCUCAGAGAUGGGUGUGCCUCUUUUGGGGUCGGUUCACAGGUGGUGCAUGCCUGUCGUCAGCUCGUGUCGUGAGAUGUUGGGUUAAGUCCCGCAACGAGCGCAACCCUUGUUCACUGUUGCCAGCACGUUAUGGUGGGGACUCAGUGGAGACCGCCGGGGUCAACUCGGAGGAAGGUGGGGAUGACGUCAAGUCCUCAUGCCCCUUAUGUCCAGGGCUUCACGCAUGCUACAAUGGCUGGUACAGAGAGUGGCGAGCCUGUGAGGGUGAGCGAAUCUCGGAAAGCCGGUCUCAGUUCGGAUUGGGGUCUGCAACUCGACCUCAUGAAGUCGGAGUCGCUAGUAAUCACAGAUCAGCAACGCUGCGGUGAGUACGUUCCCGGG